AUUGAACGCUGGCGGCGGGCUUAACACAUGCAAGUCGGGCGGGGAAAGGUAGCUUGCUACCUGACCUAGUGGCGGACGGGGGAGUAAUGCUUAGGAAUCUGCCUAUUAGUGGGGGACAACAUUCCGAAAGGAGUGCUACUAACGCAUAAGCCCUACGGGGGCAAGCAGGGGGGCUUCGGACCGUGCGCUAAUAGAUGAGCCUAAGUCAGAUUAGCUAGUGGGUGGGGUAAAGGCCUACCAAGGCGACGAUCUGCGGCGGGUCUGAGAGGAUGAUCCGCCACACUGGGACUGAGACACGGCCCAGACUCCUACGGGAGGCAGCAGUGGGGAAUAUUGGACAAUGGGCGAAAGACUGAUCCAGCCAUGCCGCGUGUGUGAAGAAGGCCUUUUGGUUGUAAAGCACUUUAAGCGAGGAGGAGGCUACCGAGAUUAAUACUCUUGGAUAGUGGACGUUACUCGCAGAAUAAGCACCGGCUAACUCUGUGCCAGCCGCCGCCGUAA
Molecule: ribosomal RNA, 501 nt
Filed under: uncultured bacterium
Lineage: Bacteria
Description: partial 16S ribosomal RNA
Rfam family: Bacterial small subunit ribosomal RNA
Source: RNAcentral